UUUGAUCCUGGCUCAGAUUGAACGCUGGCGGCAGGCCUAACACAUGCAAGUCGAGCGGUAACAGAAAGUAGCUUGCUACUUUGCUGACGAGCGGCGGACGGGUGAGUAAUGCUUGGGAACAUGCCUUGAGGUGGGGGACAACAGUUGGAAACGACUGCUAAUACCGCAUAAUGUCUACGGACCAAAGGGGGCUUCGGCUCUCGCCUUUAGAUUGGCCCAAGUGGGAUUAGCUAGUUGGUGAGGUAAUGGCUCACCAAGGCGACGAUCCCUAGCUGGUUUGAGAGGAUGAUCAGCCACACUGGGACUGAGACACGGCCCAGACUCCUACGGGAGGCAGCAGUGGGGAAUAUUGCACAAUGGGCGCAAGCCUGAUGCAGCCAUGCCGCGUGUGUGAAGAAGGCCUUCGGGUUGUAAAGCACUUUCAGUCAGGAGGAAAGGUUAGUAGUUAAUACC
This 453-nucleotide ribosomal RNA is filed under the name HMWdDNA-degrading marine bacterium 3. RNAcentral describes it as "bacterial SSU rRNA". It matches the Rfam family "Bacterial small subunit ribosomal RNA", at positions 12 to 468 of the family's 1533-position model. The record is from RNAcentral. RNAcentral also lists the same sequence under 3 other names.